This is a small nuclear RNA of Ochotona curzoniae (black-lipped pika), 105 nucleotides long. The record is from RefSeq and is a predicted model, not a curated record. Lineage: Eukaryota; Metazoa; Chordata; Mammalia; Lagomorpha; Ochotonidae.
GCUUACUCCACUUCAGAGCAUACUAAAAUUGGAACCACGCAGAAAAAAUUAGCAUGGCCCCUGUACAAGGAUGACACACAAAUCUGUGAAAUUGUAUGCUUGAUG